AUAACCCACAAUGCCACGCUGAACACGCCCAAUCUCAACUGAAUUUGGAAGCUUAGAAGGUCUUGGGCUUGGUUAAGAGGACCUGGGUGGGAGACCACCUCGGAUGUCCAGAUAGGGAUAGG
RNAcentral lists this ribosomal RNA (122 nucleotides) under Pogona vitticeps (central bearded dragon). Lineage: Eukaryota; Metazoa; Chordata; Lepidosauria; Squamata; Agamidae. The record is from RNAcentral.